This 1463-nucleotide unclassified non-coding RNA is filed under the name Hevea brasiliensis (rubber tree). The record is from RNAcentral. Lineage: Eukaryota; Viridiplantae; Streptophyta; Magnoliopsida; Malpighiales; Euphorbiaceae.
GGGCAAGCAUAAUCUUACAUGAUUAAUUAUUAGUUUUUUACCGCACAAAGAGUUGCGUGAAGAACACGCUCUCUAAUGAACAUAGACAAAUGGGCACAGGACAACCCAUCUUUAUUAUAUAUAAACAUAAAUAAAUAAACAAUGCUAAAUUAUUACAAAAAAAAUAACAAAAGAAAAUAAAAAUAAAUUGGUUCCAAAGUCUAAAAUUCUCUUCUAGCCGUCCAAAUUCAAUCCCUAACCUCAUCUAAAAAUUCCUUUCCCAUAUUUGCUCCUCUAAAGAUUCACAAUUCUUCUUCUAUAAACCCAGAAGAAAGAAAAUAAAAUAAAAUUAAAUCUCUCUUCUACCUUUCUUUCUUUUUUUUCUUGAGAGCUUACAAUAAUAAAUUAACAGUGAUUAUAAUGAUAAUAAUUAAUAUUUUGGGUGGUUGUGAUUAACUGUAGAUGAAAUUUUGCCUUUUGUCCUUUCAAGAAGCAAGAGGCCCCCUUUAUGUCAGAAGAAAAUCUCCAACUUCCAAUCUUCAAUGCUCAUUUGUCCUUCUUCCAUUAUUCAUACCCAUAAAGUGGCUUGUGUCAGAGUUAGUUAGUACUAGGAUUCAUCACAGGAUAAAAAUUCACCGUGACACGCUUCGCCCUCUCUCUACACAAACCCUAGCUGUAGUUCUUUCUUUUCUUUUCUUCUGUUCUUCUUCUUGUAGCCAUGACUUCAGUCCACCCAAAUUCUACUACAACAACCAGGUUUGCUCGUAGAUUUCUCAUUUCCCUUUCCAGGAUGAGAAGACCAAUAACGCUUGGUCCUCCUUCUGAUGAGGAAGUCUGCAGAAGAACCCGUAGGAUAAAGCUUGCUGCUUAUUCCUCCAUGGCUCGCGCUGUUGGGUCGAGAAGGGCUUGGAGCCGAGCACUUCUUUUGAAGGUAAGAAACCGUGUCAGGUUCCAGGGAAUUUUGAGAAAUAGAUUCUUGGUUUCUAAGAAGAAAAGGGUUAUCAAAGGAAAUAAGGCUUCAGGAGAGAUGAACAAGACUGAUAUGCUUCGAAAGCUGGUUCCUGGUGGGGAAACUAUGGAUAUUUGUGGGUUGUUGGAGGAAACUGCGCAUUAUAUGGCAUCUCUUGCCACGCAGGUUAAGGUGAUGCAAAGUAUAGUGGAUCAAUACUCGAAAUGAUCAUAUAUUGGAAAGGAAAAAGGAAAGGGAAGUACUGAAACAAGAAUAAUAAGAUAGAGAAGAUGCUGUGUAGACGAGGACAAGGAUCAAGAUGGGGUGGUAAUUAACUGGUGAGUAUCUAUCUAAAAAGAAAAAAAAAAUUAAUAGUUAUGGUAUACUUGUGUAGAUCAUCAAAAAGGUACGGUUGUAUGUCAGAAGCUCACACAGAAUUUAGCUUUUUCUUGCAUGGGUUUUUGUUUUGUUGUACAUAGAUAAAGUCUGACAGAGAUCUAAUCUUAUAUUUGUAUACUUUCUUUAUCUGUGAUGA